CCUACGGGUGGCAGCAGUGAGGAAUAUUGGUCAAUGGCCGGAAGGCUGAACCAGCCAUGCCGCGUGAAGGUCAGUGCCCUAUGGGCGUUAAACUUCUUUUGUGCGGGAGCAAUAAUGGUCACGUGUGGCCAGACGAGAGUACCGUACGAAUAAGCAUCGGCUAACUCCGUGCCAGCGGCCGCGGGCAUACGGGGGAUGCAAGCGUUAUCCGGGUUUAUUGGGUUUAAAGGGGGCGUAGGCUGUGAGUUAAGUCAGCGGUGAAAUGCCCCCGCUCAACGGGGUGAAGUGCCAUUGAUACUGCCGUGCUGGAAUGCGGAUGCCGUGGGAGGAAUGUGUGGUGUAGCGGUGAAAUGCAUAGAUAUCACACAGAACACCGAUUGCGAAGGCAGCUCACUAAUCCGCGAUUGACGCUGAUGCACGAAAGCGUGGGUAUCAAACAGGAUUAGAUACCCCAGUAGUC
RNAcentral lists this ribosomal RNA (460 nucleotides) under uncultured bacterium. RNAcentral describes it as "partial 16S ribosomal RNA". It matches the Rfam family "Bacterial small subunit ribosomal RNA", at positions 338 to 795 of the family's 1533-position model. The record is from RNAcentral.